Long non-coding RNA from Hemibagrus wyckioides, 4011 nucleotides. RefSeq lists it as uncharacterized. The record is from RefSeq and is a predicted model, not a curated record. The transcript has 5 exons. NCBI's taxonomy places the organism in Eukaryota, Metazoa, Chordata, Actinopteri, Siluriformes, Bagridae.
UGGUCAGUGUGUGUUUAGCUCUAAUUCUCUCUUUGGAUUAAUGUGUUGGUUUGGAUCCUCAGUAAGAAUGCAGGUGUGUUUUCUUCUCCUCCUUAUACAGCUUCAUGUCACUGAAGGCUGCAGGCUGAAAGGAAAUGGAGAGACAAGAGAUCACUGCAUACACAGGAGGCUCAGUACUGCUGCCCUGCUCCUGCACUGACCCUCACAGCAAACCUGAGACAUUCACAUGGGAGAAAAACACAAAUGGAAAUAACUGGGUGCAUCAACAAGACCUUCAUCAUCCACACCAGUGAUCACAACAACUUCACCUCCUUCCAAACCAGAACCUCUUCCAUACAUCCCUGUUGCUGUGGUGAUUGUGAUUUUUCUGCACAUUAUUGUGGCUUUCGUUUUUUGCUUAACCAGAAAGAAAGGUCCUGGUACAAUUCAUUACAGCAGAGGUGAUAGAGCUGGAACAGUGAGUCUGCAGUAGAGAAGACCUCAAUUUGCUGAUUCAUUAAUAAAUUAAUCAAGAGAAUUGUUUAAAAAUUGCCUUGCAUAAAUUGUUCUGUAAAUACUGUAGCUUCAUUUCUUAUUCACAGUUUGUUCUCUCCAAACCUUUCUAGCUUUCCCUUUGAUACUUAAUAGUAUUUUAGCUAAAUCACAGAAAAUGUGGUUUGAUUUUAAAGGGUUUUUUAAAGGGUUUGUAUCUGAUGUUCACAUGCUUUUGAUGCCUGCUUCACUUUCACAAUAUUUACAUCAUUGAAAGCUAGACACAUUGUAUAAUUUCUUCACAAAAUAUUGUAAUGUUCUUGGUUCUGGAUUGGAACUGAGUUAUUCUUCAGAGAGAACAAAUACAUCUGUUUCACAAAGAUUAUUGUAAGCAUACAUUCUAGUAUUGAUCAGCUUUGCCAGUCAUCCGUUUUCCUGAUGCUGGGUGCCUGGUCCAUUGCCCAAAACAACUCUUCUCAGCCAUGGAGCUGCUUUUAUAUCACCUGUUACCUGAAGGAACUGGAUGAAGAAUUCAUCAUCUCUUUCUUUUUCUGUCUUUCAGCAGUUCAGUAUAUUUUUCAGUAUAUACUUCUUUUUGCUCAGUAUAUUUUCCUCUAGCAUUCUCAAUUAGAGCUUUUCCCCAUUAAAUGUUGAAGCUCAGAAUUCCAGACCAUCACAGCUUCAGGGUCGAUGGAUUGAUCUUGAGCUCACUGUCAGUAUGAAGUUUCGCAUUAUCUCCUGUCUCUGUGUGGGCUUCUGCUUCUCCACACCAUACAAAAACAUCCUGUUAGAUGGAUAGAUGGCUCAAAAUCAAGCAGCAACCUGAAAAAACAAUCUAUCAAUUAAGAUCAUAAUGUGCAGUAACACUAAAAUGCCAAUAGAUUGAGAGGUCAGAUCUUCAACAGUAGACACGGUCAUGUAAACCUCAUGCAAAAUAUAAUAUACAAUAUACAAUAAAAUGCAUGUUAACAAGAAGAAAUGCAAAUUAACACUGCUUUUGUUCGAUGCAUUAAAAUGUAUCAGUGUUAAAUAGUUUAUCAGUGUUAGACGAUUAAUAAGGAUUCAGAACAUACACUCAGUUCUGCUGUGCAAAAGACAUGAGCGACUUUCUCACUUCUAUGUGGUCAAGGCCAUACUGCUAAUUUUUCACUUCCUGUUUUAACUGAAAGUGUGUUCAUUAUGAUGAGACACGGUGCAGCAGUUGGUCAGUGUGUGUUUAGCUCUAAUUCCCUCUUUGGAUUAAUGUGUUGGUUUGGAUCCUCAGUAAGAAUGCAGGUGUGUUUUCUUCUCCUCCUUAUAAGCUUCAUGUCACUGAAGGUGAGUCUGCUGAUCUCUCUCUCUCUCUCUCUCUCUCUCUCUCUCCUGUUUAAUAUGUCAGGAAAUACCAAAUGGAAUGGAAAUAAAAAUAUAAACAUUAGAAAAUGUUCAUUAUGGGUGUUUCAUCAAACCUGCUUAACACUUUAAGUAAGAACUUUCUACCAGGACUUUAUUAAUCCCCAUCUUUGUCCUGGGUUCAUGUAGAAUGCUGAGUCUCCUUCAUCAUGAUUGCUGUUCUUCUUGUUAUUCGUCAUGGUUCUCUUCUUUUAAAGCAUCAUUUCAAAGAUGCUUUAAACACUGUGUGUGUAAACUCUUCACAGAAUGGGUAGAUGAUGUCACUCAACUGCUUACCCAUGUGGUCAGUUCACACUGUCACUUCCUGCAGAGUUUCAGUGCCUCAGAGUAACAUGUGCAUGUGAGCAUUGUGUAGUUUGUGGAUUAACACUUGACCAUGUGUGUGACAAAUGAUGAGAGAUCUUUACAUUCAAACUGACACUAAAUUAUCUCUUUCUUUUGAUUAAUUUGAGAAAUAUUGUUUUAUUCUGCUCUUAUUGUCUCUUUCACAAACACGUUUGCCUGACUCUGUAGAAAUGUCAUGUAAGGAGACCACAGGGCUGUGUGCUAUGUGCCCUGUCAAGACACUGCAAAAUGAUUGGACUGAGGUAGAGCCGGCCUACCUGGAGGAGAUUAAGACUCUGGAGGACUGGUGCCAGAGGAACAACCUCCACCUUACCGUCAGCAAGACUAAGGAGCUGAUAGUGGACUUCAAAAAAAGUAGGAGAGGAACUAACAGACCCCUGUGAUCAACAACAGCACAGUGGAGUGAGUGGACAGCUUCAGAUACCUUGGUGUUCACAUCACGCAGGAACUGUCAUGGUCCUGUCACAUCAACACCGUGGUGAAGAAGCGUCUCUUCCACCUCAGAGGCUUGAGAGACUUUAGACUGCCCGCUAAGUUGCUAAGGAACUUUUACUCCUGCACCAUAGAGAGCAUCCUGACGGGAAACAUCACCACCUGGUUUGGGAACCAGGUUUUGAGGACAGACGAGCUCUUCAGAGGGUGGUGCGAUCAGCUGAGCGCAUCAUCCGUACCAAGCUCCCUGACCUGCACUCGAUCUACAACAAGUAGUGCUGGACCAAGGCCAGGAAGAUCGUGAAGGACCUCAGCCAUCCCAACAAUGGACUUUUCUCACCGUUGAGGUCAAGCGCUUCCACUCCCUGAAGGGCAACACUAGGUGUGUUUACAUGGACACUUUUUAAUCAGAUCGGACUGAAUUCAAUCAGAUUGACGAAUCCGAUCGCAGCGUUUACAUGAGCACGGUAUAAGGUAAUCAGAUUGUAAUGCGCGUUUACAUGACACAUGAUUAGAAUCGGAUUAGAUCUUUUGACAUGCUCACAAUCCACAAAAACAUCCGUAUGUCAUACGUCAUUUGUGUAUUGAUGAGGCUCUCACACACUGUGUAUGUCUAUCUAACAGGUAAGCAUCUGGCAAGUAACACAUAUCAAUACAAUAUGUAUCAACAUCCGUAUGUCAUACGUCAUUCUUGCGUCAUUGCACAUGCGCAGAACUUUCCAGGAACAUAUUCCAUCCGAUUAAGUGUUUACAUGUCCUCUCGAUAGGACUAAAAAUGGUUUAAACCACCCCUUACCAACUGACUGAAAUUUUAAUCAGAUGUGGCAAAUUUCAUCCGAUUGACGUGUUUACAUGACACUUUUUUAAUCUGAUUGUGCUUCUAGUCCUGAUACGAUCGGAUUACAAGUGUCCAUGUAAACGCACCUACUGAGAGACUGAGGAGAAGCUUCUUCCUGCAGGCUAUACGGUCUCACAAUCAGAAUCAGAAUCUCACAUAGGACUCAACUGAUUAGACCUACUAUGCUCCUACACACGUGUUGGAACUCCAACCAUCCACACCGGACAUUUGCACAUUACAGGACUGUGGCACACAAUAAACACACAAAUGUACAUCUGCACAUUUGCACAUUUCAAGACUGUGCACACAAUACAAACACAUAAGCACACAGUCUGCUCCCGUUUACAUACAAAGAGAACUUAUGCACAUGCACUUUAAAGAUGGACAAUACCAUUGCUCUCAUCACCUAAUUCCACUUCGUGACCACCCCGUACUGCUGUCCUUGGACACUAUUGCACACUACACACUUCACUUUAUAUAAUUUUGCAAAAUUUUGUACUGCUGCUGUCUACAACACAGUUGCCGUAUUUUAC